CCAAGGCUCAUGCUGGACUCAUACGGUCACGGCGAGCCAGCCUACGCCAUCGAACUGCUUUCGCUCGACGCGGACGGAGUUCAUCAGUUGUUCGCAGACCUCGGGUUCCCACAGUACCACGAGCCGCUUAGCGACCCGCCGACGGCUUGACCAUCGCUCCUUCGCCUACCCUCGCUCGCGGAUCUCGACUUCCUCGCUCCGCGCCUGCUGCCCAUUCCUGGCCUCCUGCCGCUUGCAUCGUGCACUCGAGCUAUGAGACGCGAAGUCUCGCGGUCGAAUGGCGGUCCUGCAUCUU
Molecule: unclassified non-coding RNA, 295 nt
Filed under: Rhodotorula toruloides
Lineage: Eukaryota; Fungi; Basidiomycota; Microbotryomycetes; Sporidiobolales; Sporidiobolaceae
Source: RNAcentral